CUGGCUCAGAACGAACGCUGGUGGCGUGUCUUAUACAUGCAAGUCGAGCGAGGCAGCAAUGCCGAGCGGCGAACGGGUGAGUAACGCGUAAGCAAUCUGCCCCAUAUCAGGAAAUACCCGUGCCAACGCGCGGUUAAUGUCUAGGAGAGUGGCUCCUUGCAUGAGGAGUUGACUAGAGAUUUAUCGGUAUGGGAUGAGCUUGCGUCCGAUUAGCUAGUUGGCGGGGCAACGGCCCACCAAGGCGACGAUCGGUAGCCGGCCUGAGAGGGUGAUCGGCCACAUUGGGACUGAGAUACGGCCCAGACUCCUACGGGAGGCAGCAGUAGGGAAUAUUGCACAAUGGGGGAAACCCUGAUGCAGCAACGCCAACCGUGUGGGAAGAAGCAUUUCGGUGUGUAAACCACUGUCAUGAGGGAAUAAGGCCCUUAUCCGUAAGGGAUUGAAUGUACCUUGAGAGGAAGCACCGGCAAACUUCGUGCCAGCCGCCGC
Molecule: ribosomal RNA, 489 nt
Filed under: uncultured bacterium
Lineage: Bacteria
Description: bacterial SSU rRNA
Rfam family: Bacterial small subunit ribosomal RNA
Source: RNAcentral